RNAcentral lists this small RNA (666 nucleotides) under Pan troglodytes (chimpanzee). RNAcentral describes it as "retained intron". The record is from RNAcentral. Lineage: Eukaryota; Metazoa; Chordata; Mammalia; Primates; Hominidae.
CAGCAAAAUGUUUACUGAAUUCAUCCUCAAUGUUCCCAUGGGCUUGCUGACCAUCCAGAAACUCUACUGCUUGAUCGAAAUCGUCCACAGUGACCUCUUCACACAGCAUGACUGCAGAGAGAUCCUGCUUCCCAUGAUGACCGAUCAGCUCAAGUACCAUCUGGAGAGACAGGAGGACCUGGAGGCCUGCUGUCAGCUGCUCAGCCACAUCCUGGAGGUGCUGUACAGGAAGGACGUGGGGCCAACCCAGAGGCAUGUCCAGAUUAUCAUGGAGAAACUUCUCCGGACCGUGAACCGAACCGUCAUUUCCAUGGGACGAGAUUCCGAACUCAUCGUAAGUGCUUGGUGACAUAUGUUUGGAUAUUUAACUGGGGCUGACAGCAUCCUUCUCCAACUGCUGUUUGAACAUAGCUUAUUAUACUGCAAUGUAGUGAGCAGUUGAGAUACAGCUUGGUAUAUAAAAUGUCCUCAUUUUCCAAAUGAAUGUCAAAGUUGAAGGGUAAGCAAACCAACUUUAAAGAUGGAAACAUUUGGCUCUUGUUUUCUCAUUACUUACUUAUAGCAAAAGACAUGUAUUUUCUGCUGAGUUGUCAUUCUUCUGGCAGUUUCUCCUUAGUGUUUACACUUAAGGUGCCAUUAAUAAAAUUUUAUGAAGGACCCUAAAAA